CGCCCCGCGCCCGUCCCGCCGCCCCCGCCCGCCUACGGGAGGCAGCAGGGGGGAAUAUUGGACAAUGGGGGCAACCCUGAUCCAGCAAUGCCGCGUGUGUGAAGAAGGCCUUCGGGUUGUAAAGCACUUUCAGAUGUGAGGAAAGGUUACCGGUUAAUACCCUGUAACUGUGACGUUAACAUCAGAAGAAGCACCGGCUAACUCCGUGCCAGCAGCCGCGGUAAUACGGAGGGUGCAAGCGUUAAUCGGAAUUACUGGGCGUAAAGCGCGCGUAGGCGGUUUAUUAAGUCAGAUGUGAAAGCCCCGGGCUUAACCUGGGAAUGGCAUUUGAGACUGGUAGGCUAGAGUGUGGUAGAGGUGAGUGGAAUUUCAGGUGUAGCGGUGAAAUGCGUAGAGAUCUGAAGGAACAUCAGUGGCGAAGGCGACUCACUGGGCCAUUACUGACGCUGAGGUGCGAAAGCGUGGGUAGCAAACAGGAUUAGAUACCCUGGUAGUCCACGCCCUAAACGAUGUCAACUAGGUGUAUGGAGAAUUUAUUCUUUGUGUAUCGAAGCUAACGCGAUAAGUGA
This 569-nucleotide ribosomal RNA is filed under the name uncultured bacterium. RNAcentral describes it as "bacterial SSU rRNA". It matches the Rfam family "Bacterial small subunit ribosomal RNA", at positions 301 to 868 of the family's 1533-position model. The record is from RNAcentral.